This 22-nucleotide microRNA is filed under the name Oreochromis niloticus (Nile tilapia). Its description in RNAcentral is "oni-miR-10594a". Lineage: Eukaryota; Metazoa; Chordata; Actinopteri; Cichliformes; Cichlidae. The record is from miRBase by way of RNAcentral.
UGACCCCACCUCCACAGAGGGA